This 559-nucleotide long non-coding RNA is filed under the name Manihot esculenta (cassava). RNAcentral's name for it is "long non-coding RNA (MESC_LNC004205)". The record is from RNAcentral. Lineage: Eukaryota; Viridiplantae; Streptophyta; Magnoliopsida; Malpighiales; Euphorbiaceae.
CCCAUUGAUUUGCCACCCCUUUAAGCCUAAAUUGAAUCAUUCACAGUAUGUUACCUUCACUUAGGGAGUUUUUCUCUUGAAUUGAAUCCUUAAAUGUGCUAAGGUCAAGGGAAAUAAAAAUACAAAUACAUGCAAACACAAAGCUAGUGUAACUCCCUAUGAGCUGAUUUGCCCAAAUUAUCAUAAAAAACCAGCACAAAGCACAAAUCUCAAACUUGUUCCAAUGGUCUAAAACUAUGAACUGAGCCUAAUAGCCACUUGGAGAAGUAACUGACUGAGUAACCGGGGGUGUAUCACCCAUGUACACAAUCGCGUAAAAAGGUCAGUAACUUUUUCAAGCGAAUAAGUUUCGAUGGUCUAGACUAUGAACAGAGCUAGUAGCAACUUGAACAAUUGACUAACUGAGUAACCGGGGGUGUAUCACCCAUGUACACAAUCGCAUAAAAAGGUUAGUGACUUUUUCAGGCAAGGAUAAGAAUAAGUGCUGCUGAAAAUAAAAAUAUAAAUUAAAUAAAAAGGAGAAAGAGAGAAGGUGGCAGGUCACUCCUAGGGGUUACAU